CGGGAGACAGCAGUCGAGAGGCUUCGGCAAUGGGGGAAACCCUGACCGAGCGACGCCGCGUGGAGGAUGAAGGCCCUUGGGUUGUAAACUCCUUUUGUCAGCGAAGAAAUGCGAUCAGGUGAAUAAUCUGGUCGCUUGACGGUAGCUGACGAAUAAGCUCCGGCUAACUCCGUGCCAGCAGCCGCGGUAACACGGGGGGAGCAAGCGUUGUUCGGAAUCACUGGGCGUAAAGGGCGUGUAGGCGGUCAGGUAAGUGAGAUGUGAAAUCCCUCGGCUCACCCGAGGACCGGCAUCUCAUACUGCUUGGCUUGAGUACGGGAGAGGAUGAGGGAAUUCCUGGUGUAGCGGUGAAAUGCGUAGAUAUCAGGAGGAACACCGGUGGCGAAGGCGCUCAUCUGGCCCGAUACUGACGCUGAGGCGCGAAAGCUAGGGGAGCAAACGGGAUUAGAAACCCUGGUAGUCC
Molecule: ribosomal RNA, 463 nt
Filed under: uncultured bacterium
Lineage: Bacteria
Description: bacterial SSU rRNA
Rfam family: Bacterial small subunit ribosomal RNA
Source: RNAcentral